Molecule: small RNA, 176 nt
Filed under: Caulobacter sp. UNC279MFTsu5.1
Lineage: Bacteria; Pseudomonadati; Pseudomonadota; Alphaproteobacteria; Caulobacterales; Caulobacteraceae
Description: caulobacter sRNA CC2171
Rfam family: caulobacter sRNA CC2171
Source: RNAcentral
CAACAACUGAAAGGAGGUGACCAGUGUCUCAUUGUCUCCAACCGCGGUCGCAAGUCGUGACCUGGGGCCUGAAGAUCGAGGUCUCCAACUGAAGGCGUUGAACGCCUAAGGUUCGAAGUCACGCUGCGGACGCGGCUACGACGAUGGAGGGCCGUCCCGAGCGAUCGGGGCGGCCC